This 72-nucleotide transfer RNA is filed under the name Syntrophaceae bacterium. RNAcentral describes it as "tRNA-Ala". It matches the Rfam family "tRNA". Rfam says of the family: Transfer RNA (tRNA) molecules are approximately 80 nucleotides in length. Their secondary structure includes four short double-helical elements and three loops (D, anti-codon, and T loops). The record is from RNAcentral. Lineage: Bacteria; Pseudomonadati; Thermodesulfobacteriota; Syntrophia; Syntrophales; Syntrophaceae.
GGGGGUGUAGCUCAGCUGGGNNCUUGAAUGGCAUUCAAGAGGCCAGCAGUUCGAUCCUGCUCAUCUCCACCA